This is a long non-coding RNA of Drosophila mauritiana, 364 nucleotides long. RefSeq lists it as uncharacterized. The record is from RefSeq and is a predicted model, not a curated record. The transcript is spliced from 2 exons. Lineage: Eukaryota; Metazoa; Arthropoda; Insecta; Diptera; Drosophilidae.
UAUUUCGACCUUCAGGCUAGAGAAAUUUCAGUUGCCUUCGAGUCGAGCUACAAGCCGGUCGCAUUUCUCUAACAAAUUUCAAAAAUGUAUCAAAAUUUUUAGUUAAAAAUCGCUACACUGCCGACGGCACAAGGGUUGUUUCCUCGCAAUAAUCCGAGGAAUCCAAACCAGGAAACGACAUUGAUCGACAAUAUAACUCACUACUCAGAACACGAUGCUCCAUAACUGCCGGAUGGGCACCAAACGGAGGCCCAGUUCCGGAGGAUCAUCCAGCUGCAAAAACCAUGACACCGGACUACUUUCUUAAUGGAGCUACCACGAGAAGGAUAUACACUAAAAGUUGCAGCACCCCAAGGCGCGCACA